UCCCAGACUCCUACGGGAGGCAGCAGUGGGGGAUAUUGCACAAUGGGGGAAACCCUGAUGCAGCGACGCCGCGUGGGUGAAGAAGCGCCUCGGCGCGUAAAGCCCUGUCAGCAGGGAAGAAAAUGACGGUACCUGAAGAAGAAGCCCCGGCUAACUACGUGCCAGCAGCCGCGGUAAUACGUAGGGGGCAAGCGUUAUCCGGAUUUACUGGGUGUAAAGGGGGCGCAGACGGCGAUGCAAGCCAGGAGUGAAAGCCCGGGGCCCAACCCCGGGACUGCUCUUGGAACUGCGUGGCUGGAGUGCAGGAGGGGCAGGCGGAAUUCCUGGUGUAGCGGUGAAAUGCGUAGAUAUCAGGAGGAACACCGGUGGCGAAGGCGGCCUGCUGGACCGCGGCUGACGUUGAGGCUCGAAAGCGUGGGGAGCGAACAGGAUUAGAUCCCCGGGUA
RNAcentral lists this ribosomal RNA (446 nucleotides) under uncultured bacterium. RNAcentral's name for it is "bacterial SSU rRNA". It matches the Rfam family "Bacterial small subunit ribosomal RNA", at positions 329 to 792 of the family's 1533-position model. The record is from RNAcentral.